RNAcentral lists this unclassified non-coding RNA (150 nucleotides) under air metagenome. Its description in RNAcentral is "partial contains small subunit ribosomal RNA, internal transcribed spacer 1, and 5.8S ribosomal RNA". The stretch from base 1 to 46 matches the Rfam family "Eukaryotic small subunit ribosomal RNA", at positions 1786 to 1831 of the family's 1831-position model. The record is from RNAcentral.
AAGUCGUAACAAGGUUUCCGUAGGUGAACCUGCGGAAGGAUCAUCAUAUUAUUGAAAAAUAAGGCAACUUUUUUUUUGGUGCUAGCUUUUUGGAAGCUCUUGACAUAAACUUAAAAGUACAAACUUUUAACCAUGGAUCUCUAGGCUCUU